AAAUCAUGUUGGGAGGGCAUCUCCUGAUCAAUUGUUUGUAUCUUUCUCAAGCUUCAUAGAGGGAUUCACCCUCUCUCUGUCUAAAGGUUUAUACUUCCACCCUGAGCUU
Small nucleolar RNA from Arachis stenosperma, 109 nucleotides. Lineage: Eukaryota; Viridiplantae; Streptophyta; Magnoliopsida; Fabales; Fabaceae. The record is from RefSeq and is a predicted model, not a curated record.